RNAcentral lists this long non-coding RNA (784 nucleotides) under Gossypium raimondii (Peruvian cotton). Its description in RNAcentral is "long non-coding RNA (GRAI_LNC001927)". Lineage: Eukaryota; Viridiplantae; Streptophyta; Magnoliopsida; Malvales; Malvaceae. The record is from RNAcentral.
AGGGGACUCGUCGGAGUCGAUGGUGACAAAGGUUGGAGUAGAAAAACGGUGUUGACGACGAUUUUACCACUGAGGGUGGUUCUUGCGCUGCGCGGUCACGAGUGCGUACCAUGGUGGGGUGGUGCAAUGGUUUCUUGGAGGUCUGUUUAAAGAUUGUAAAAAAAGUGACAGUGUUGAAGGUGAAGGGAAAUUAAAGAAAGAAAGAAGAGUUUGAAAAAGAUUUUGAAUUUGUGUUUCUAUGUUUCUUUGGCCGGUCAAAUGGGGGGUAAUGGGUUGUGUGUGAUUUUUUAUUUUAGGGUGAAAAGAAAGCUAGGAUGUGAUAGGUGAAAGGCUAGGAUUUGAUGGGUGUAAGGGUUUUUGUUUUUAUUUGAAAGGAGUGGUCUGUUGGGGGGGAAUUUGGUGAGUUAAUAUGGGGUAGUGGGGUUUGUUUUUCUAGGUGAAAAGUUUGAUUUGAUGGGUGCAAGGGUUUUUGUUUUUUUUUUGUUUUUUUUUAAUUGGGAAAUGGAUGGACGGUUGGGUUGGAAAAUUUUGGGUUUAUGGGCUAGCUUAGAUUGAUUUUAAAAUGGUGGACAUGUAGUGUGGGCCUUGGCUGAAAAAUAAAAAGAAUUUGUGAGUUGACAUGUGGGAUUUUAAUUUUGUCUUGGAAUGUUUUCCUGUAAAAAUAGAAAUAAAAUAAAAAUAAAAUAAAAUAGUAAUAAUAAUAAUAAUAGAAAAAUAAAAAUGUUCUUUUUUUUUCAAAUUUAUUGGCUAAGCUAUAAACUCGAGAAAUAAAUUAUUAAAACCA